GAUGAACGCUGGCGGCGUGCCUAAUACAUGCAAGUCGAGCGAAUGGAUUAAGAGCUUGCUCUUAUGAAGUUAGCGGCGGACGGGUGAGUAACACGUGGGUAACCUGCCCAUAAGACUGGGAUAACUCCGGGAAACCGGGGCUAAUACCGGAUAACAUUUUGAACCGCAUGGUUCGAAAUUGAAAGGCGGCUUCGGCUGUCACUUAUGGAUGGACCCGCGUAGCAUUAGCUAGUUGGUGAGGUAACGGCUCACCAAGGCAACGAUGCGUAGCCCACCUGAGAGGGUGAUCGGCCACACUGGGACUGAGACACGGCCCAGACUGCUACGGGAGGCAGCAGUAGGGGAUCUUCCGCAAUGGACGAAAGUCUGACGGAGCAACGCCGCGUGAGUGAUGAAGGCUUUCGGGUCGUAAAACUCUGUUGUUAGGGAAGAACAAGUGCUAGUUGAAUAAGCUGGCACCUUGACGGUACCUAACCAGAAAGCCACGGCUAACUACGUGCCAGCCGCCGCGGUAA
This 515-nucleotide ribosomal RNA is filed under the name uncultured bacterium. Its description in RNAcentral is "partial 16S ribosomal RNA". It matches the Rfam family "Bacterial small subunit ribosomal RNA", at positions 28 to 523 of the family's 1533-position model. The record is from RNAcentral.